GACGAACGCUGGCGGCGUGCUUAACACAUGCAAGUCGAACGGAAAGGCCCUGCUUUUGUGGGGUGCUCGAGUGGCGAACGGGUGAGUAACACGUGAGUAACCUGCCCUUGACUUUGGGAUAACUUCUGGAAACUGGGGCUCAUACCGGAUAGGAGCUCCUGCUGCACGGUGGGGGUUGGAAAGUUUCGGCGGUUGGGGAUGGACUCGCGGGUUAUCAGCUUGUUGGUGGGGUAGUGGCUUACCAAGGGUUUGACGGGUAGCCGGCCUGAGAGGGUGACCGGCCACAAUGGGACUGAGAUACGGAGCAGUAGGCUACGGGAGGCAGCAGGCGAGAAUAUUGCACAGUGGGCGGAAGCGUGAGGCAGAAAUGCCGCGUGCGGGAUGACGGCCUUCGGGGUGUAAACCGCUUUCGCCGGUGACGAAGCGGGAGUGACGGUAAUGGGUAAAGAAGCACCGGCUAACUACGUG
Molecule: ribosomal RNA, 468 nt
Filed under: uncultured bacterium
Lineage: Bacteria
Description: partial 16S ribosomal RNA
Rfam family: Bacterial small subunit ribosomal RNA
Source: RNAcentral